CACUAGAUGAAAAUGAAACUCACUAAAGUGAAAUGCAUACCUAAAAACUACUACAAUAGGGAGUAUACGGGGAGUCUCUAUUAACUCAAUUUUGCUAUAAUCUUAAAACUGCUCUAAAAAUUAAGACCUACGUUAAAGGUCAUAAGCAUUGUGAUCUCUCAAACCUGAUUCUCUAUAGGCUGGUACCUUAUCCACUGUGCCACAGGUUCUUUGCCUGAUGAAACGGAUUAGAUACAUUUGGUCUGAUUAUAAAAAGAAGCUUCCACUCAGUGAAUAAAACUCCUUAUGGUGUCAACAACAUUGACUUCUAGAGGUCUACUGGUGAUUAAGCCAUGCAGAAAGGCGGGCAGGUGGGCUACUGAAUGCUAAGAAACCUCUAAUCAGGGUGAAUAAAAUUCCCCAUGUCUGUCAACAAUACUGACUUCUAAAUGUGGAGUAAAGAAAUUUCCUUUAAAAAUAUCUUCUACUGUUCAUCUUUUCCACUCUAGUUUUGAACUUGGUAACAUGCGUUUAAUUACGAAUGUUCACGCUCAUCUCUUCACUCGACUAAGAUAUUAUUACUGCAUAUGUGUCAAAGUUUUCUAAUCUUUGGGUACUCUCAUGUUUAAUAUAUUCAUUGAGAACUGGCUCUUUCAGACAUUGAACAAAAUAGAAUGAUCCCAGUAGCACAGUUCUAAUGAAGAAAAUUUAUUUAGUUAUGACAGGAAUUUACCACCCACUGCUAGUCCAUGAAAAUAAGAGGUUCCGUCUACCCUUCCACUUUCUACAGCAAACCUCACAUCUCCAACCUCAGCCUCCUUGUGAAAGUACCAAAGAAGUGAGGUGACCUCACUGCCGUCAUGGGCACUGAAUGCCCCAGAAUUUCCUUACAUACUUUUCUAAUUUUAACGCAAAUCACUCUGACGUCAUCUAAGUUUGAUGUGAUCCAGGAUCCCAAAGGUAAAGGAUUAUUAUCAGUCAGCAACCACUCUCCUUUACCAUAAGGUCCAUAUGUAUAUAGCUCAGGAAUGUCAUAGGAGAAGCUAAAUGAGCAAUUUCACCUCCCAUUGCCACCAUUUUUGGCAGCCUAGGUCCCAAACUCAAUUUUGAAUGAGUCAUCACGAUGGGGUGAAGGUGAUGGGGAAAUAUCCACAUUGAGAGCUACAGAUAGACCACGUCAUAGAGCACAAAGCCUGGGAGUCACUACACAUCUGAAAGGCAGAGUGGAAGACUGUACUUUCAGGGAUCAUUUCUACAGUUUGUGAAAGGCAGAGUGGUUUUGAGGAGAAGGCAUCCUUCGCCUCUCUUUCAGAUCGACUUUACUCUGUGUCCUGACCAUAAAGAGUUGCAUCAACAGGUGUCUUUACUCUGUGACUUCUGGUUUGACUUGGUCGGUGAUGGAAACGGCAGGAAACAAGAACACGGGAGAACAUACCAUCGCCGUGUCUACUCCCUGACUCCCCACCAAGCCCUCCCUCGGGCUUCCUCACGCUCAUCGCAUCUCUCCCGAGAAACAGAACGCUCAUGCCAGGUGUCCUCCUCAUGUGUCCUUCUCGCGUGUUGGUAAUUUUCAUUUCCCCCUUGUCACGUCAGGACCAGCGAUGGCAGCAAAGUCCCUUCUGUAAUACUAUAGUAAUAUGCUAUGUACUAUUAUAUUAAUAUGGUACAUAUUUAUAUACCCAUAUAUCUUCUUGGAUUUUGGAUUUGAUUUUCCUGAAUCUUGCCCACAUAUGUUCAAUGACCUCUGACCCACUUAUAAAUUCUUUAAAUUAUAAGGAUUUCAAAAAAACACCCCCCAAAAAAUUUUUUUAAAAAAUCAAUCAAUAAUCCAGUUUGAGCAAGGCGUAUUUUUCCUGACAGCAAGUUAAGCAAAAGAAAAGAGGAAGAACUGUCCACCUCAUUUACAUAUGUACAUCUCUCCAUCACUGUCUAUCACUGUCUAUCAGCAUCACGAACACUAUCCACGAGUUUAUUAUAUGGUAAAGUUUUAAUACGUGUAGUUUAAAACAUGACUAGAAGUAUGAUGUUCAGUUUUUAAAUGAAUUGUCUUUUCCCCCCAAAUGGGGAGGGGGUUCAUCUCAAAGAGAGACUUGCCCAAGUGUAGAAGAUGCCGUUUCAAGUAAGUCUUCGCAUAUUUAGUUUUCCGCAUAGAACAGUGAGAAGAAGCUGAGACUGAGGAAGGGUCAGGAGAAGACAGAGCAAGUCUGCCCAAACAAAGAUGAGAAGAGAGGACUCUCUUAUGAAGGGAAGCUGAAUAAAUUCCUGAAGAGGUGAUGCACACAGAGCAGAGUGAUGGGGUCGCCUGUGAUUUACCCUGGAGCUCAGACUCCACAUAUCCACAAUACAUUAAUGCUUUUGCCAUGGAUAAGGCUUACUGCCAGUAUUUAUUUAUUCCUUUAAAUAUUCUCCAGCAUUCAGUGGCCCCAGCUGCUAUAAAAUCUGCCUUCUAUCUGAUUCCAUCUUUAUAUUUUCACAGACUGUUUUGUUUUAAAUUCAUUUGGAAGUGAAGAAUUUGGUGUCUAUUUUUGUUGUGUUCCUUGAGAUGUUUACUUCCUAAAUGAGUUUUUUAAAACGUGAUUCUGUAUAGUUUAAAUUUUUUAACUUAUAUGCUGUAUUCUUCCUUCUUUUCGAGUUGUCCAUCCAUAAUAUUACCUAAAAACUGUCUGCUUACCUUUUUCAGCUCCCCACUAUUUAACCAAUGGGGGGGGUGUGUUAGGGGAGUGAUUUAAUAUAGUAUUUGUACAAAAAUAAGUAGUUUGAGUUCUCUGCGAACUCUCUUUCUAAUCGCCUUAGAUCCAUUUCUAUUUUCCAUUAAAAUGUGAACUUUAACCUUGAAUGCUGAAAAUGUGUUUCCUCUUAUUUCCUAGGGAAUUGUGUGAGGCAGUAGGAUCUUAGGUGCUUACGGUUCUAUUGUUCUAAUUUGUUUAAAGUUCUACUCCUAAGAAGGUUUGCCUAAUAGGCGUGUACACUAAUAAAGUGAUGCUGAUUUUUUAACCCCAUUUCAUGAGUAUACAGAGCUCCUUUGGUGUGAGGUCUGGAUUUGUCUUGAGUUUUCCCCACGGAAGAAAACGAACUCUAGGCAGUUAUUGCCCAGCGUUUUCUGACAACCAUAUCAAAAGAAGCAGAGGAAACAAGGAAAUGUGAUAAUUUUAUUUAUUCCAUCUCUAAAUUCAAACAUCCAUCUGAUUAUGGUUUGAGGCAAAAUAUGAAGAGUUGGGAGUUCCUGUUGUGGCUCAGUGGAAACGAACCCAACUAGUAUCCAUGAGAAUGUGGGUUGGAUCCCUGGCCUCGAUCCGUGGGGUAAGGAUCCAGCAUUGCCAUGAGCUGUGGUGUAGGUCACAGACGUGGCUCAGAUCUGGUGUUGCUGUGGCUGGUUGCUGCAGCUCUGAUUCAACCCCUAGCAUGGGAACUUCCAUAUGCUGCAGGUGCAGCCCUAAAAUGCAAAAAAAAAAAAAAAAAA
Molecule: long non-coding RNA, 3439 nt
Filed under: Sus scrofa (pig)
Lineage: Eukaryota; Metazoa; Chordata; Mammalia; Artiodactyla; Suidae
Description: lncRNA (ENSSSCG00060038324.1)
Source: RNAcentral